Diospyros lotus (date-plum) is the source of this 1529-nucleotide RNA transcript. It is a transcript of the gene named protein LIGHT-DEPENDENT SHORT HYPOCOTYLS 3-like, with no coding region annotated. The transcript has 2 exons. The record is from RefSeq and is a predicted model, not a curated record. NCBI's taxonomy places the organism in Eukaryota, Viridiplantae, Streptophyta, Magnoliopsida, Ericales, Ebenaceae.
UCUCUCUCUCUCUCUCUCUCUCAUCUCAAUCACCUAAUUAUUCUAAGAUGAAAAUCUUCUUCUUUUAGCUCAUUCUCUCCCCCCUUUCUCCUAGCACAAAUAUGGAAAUUAUUGUUAUUUCAGGGAAACAAUGAAGUUUGUUCUUCAUUUCCUUAAUCUUUCUUUUCUUGGAGUUUGGUAGAGAGAGAGAGAGAGAGAGAGAGAGAGAGAGUGUUUGUGGCUAUAACAUCUGAAGGCAGACUCAUCAAUAUCUGACUGGCAUUCUUCAAGUUUUAUAAGCAAGCAAUCAUAACCCUCACUUCACCUGACCCUUUCUCUUUCUCUCUCUCUACACUUUUCUCCGAAGAGGUCAGGGAGGAAACCCUGGAAGAAUUAAUGGAGGAGUGACUGAAAGAGCAAUAUAUAGGCAUAUAGCAGAAGCAAACACACAGACCUUGUAAGAUCAAAACCUUCAAUCUCUGAAUCUGUUCCCCUGGCAGGAUCCGAGAAGAUUUAACACCAUUUCCGAUGGAUUCAUGCUCAGAAGUGGAGAGCUUCAACUCCGAAAACACAAGCAUCAACGCCCACAACAACAAUAUUCCAGCCGCCGCCGCCGCAGGUGGCUCUUCCUCUUCAGCGUCCAGUACUCCCAGUCGAUACGAGAACCAGAAGCGCCGGGACUGGAACACCUUCGGUCAGUACCUCAAGAACCACAGGCCACCGCUCGCCCUCUCCCGCUGCAGCGGCGCUCACGUCCUCGAAUUCCUCCGAUACCUUGACCAAUUUGGCAAGACGAAGGUCCAUACUCCAAUCUGCCCCUUCUACGGCCUCGCCAACCCUCCGGCGCCGUGUCCUUGUCCUCUCCGCCAAGCCUGGGGCAGCCUCGACGCCCUUGUCGGCCGCCUCCGUGCCGCUUACGAAGAGAACGGCGGCAAGCCGGAAACAAACCCCUUUGGGGCUCGGGCCGUCCGGCUUUAUCUCCGUGAGGUCCGCGAUCUGCAGUCCAAGGCUCGGGGAAUCAGCUACGAGAAGAAGAAGCGGAAGCGCCCAGUACCGCCUCCACCCCAAGGCGGAAGCAGCGGCUGAUCACGAAUUCAGCAACUCCAUCGAUCUCCUCCCGUCUUUGUUUUGGGCUUAAGAACGAAUGGCUGGAUCUGAGACAGCGCGAUCCUGCUUUUGAUGCAAACAGUAGUAGUAGUCGUCUAGUAGUUGGAGCACUUUGUCACUGGCAGAGAUCGAUGGUAGAGACACUGAGCCAUAGUGAGAACUUUGUAUUAAAAGUAGAAGCAGAAGUUUAAUGUACUACUGGUUAAAUAUCAUUUUCCAUCGAGUUGAAGGCACUCCUAUGCUGAACAGCAUCAUUGCGGAUCGUCGUCAUAUCAUGAGUUCUUCAGCAUUUCCAUUCGAAAUUUCCCUUUUUCUGCCUCUUUGUGUCUUUGAUACAUAUAUAUAAGAUGUUAAGGCUUGUUUUAAGAGCUUCCUUAAUCAGUAUCAUCUUAAUUUCAGGCCCAUUUUGGGAGCCUGUAAUUUUAAUGGAAAAUAUGUUACAA